This 77-nucleotide transfer RNA is filed under the name Betaproteobacteria bacterium. RNAcentral's name for it is "tRNA-Val". It matches the Rfam family "tRNA". From Rfam's summary of the family: Transfer RNA (tRNA) molecules are approximately 80 nucleotides in length. Their secondary structure includes four short double-helical elements and three loops (D, anti-codon, and T loops). Lineage: Bacteria; Pseudomonadati; Pseudomonadota; Betaproteobacteria. RNAcentral also lists the same sequence under 2 other names. The record is from RNAcentral.
AGGCGCGUAGUUCAGCUGGUUAGAACGCCACGUUGACAUCGUGGAGGUCGUUGGUUCGAGUCCAAUCGCGCCUACCA